Molecule: ribosomal RNA, 465 nt
Filed under: uncultured Klebsiella sp.
Lineage: Bacteria; Pseudomonadati; Pseudomonadota; Gammaproteobacteria; Enterobacterales; Enterobacteriaceae
Description: bacterial SSU rRNA
Rfam family: Bacterial small subunit ribosomal RNA
Source: RNAcentral
CCUACGGGAGGCUGCAGUGGGGAAUAUUGCACAAUGGGCGCAAGCCUGAUGCAGCCAUGCCGCGUGUGUGAAGAAGGCCUUCGGGUUGUAAAGCACUUUCAGCGGGGAGGAAGGCGUUAAGGUUAAUAACCUUGGCGAUUGACGUUACCCGCAGAAGAAGCACCGGCUAACUCCGUGCCAGCAGCCGCGGUAAUACGGAGGGUGCAAGCGUUAAUCGGAAUUACUGGGCGUAAAGCGCACGCAGGCGGUCUGUCAAGUCGGGUGUGAAAUCCCCGGGCUCAACCUGGGAACUGCAUUCGAAACUGGCAGGCUAGAGUCUUGUAGAGGGGGGUAGAAUUCCAGGUGUAGCGGUGAAAUGCGUAGAGACCUGGAGGAAUACCGGUGGCGAAGGCGGCCCCCUGGACAAAGACUGACGCUCAGGUGCGAAAGCGUGGGGAGCAAACAGGAUUAGAUACCCGGGUAGUC